This is a long non-coding RNA of Pyrus x bretschneideri (Chinese white pear), 1099 nucleotides long. RefSeq lists it as uncharacterized. The transcript is spliced from 2 exons. Lineage: Eukaryota; Viridiplantae; Streptophyta; Magnoliopsida; Rosales; Rosaceae. The record is from RefSeq and is a predicted model, not a curated record.
UUUUUUUAAUAUGAUCAGUAUAUGAGGUGAUACAUCAUAUGUUAUUAUAUAAAUUAUGAAAUAUGUCUGCUAAAAAGUUAACAAUUUACAAAAUAAAAUUUCUCACCACUCCUAUUAAAAUACAUUGUAUAUCACUUGUAUUCCCAUCACAAUUAAAAUUUUUUCUAUGUUUUGAUAGAGAGAGAGAUGGGGCAAAGGCAGAACUCCUAGUACUACCGACACUCAGCGUGCGUGCCAUGCACGACUGAAUCUAGCCGCGUUUGCCGAAGCCAUUCGAUUCAAAGCAGGUCAAUUUCUUUUGUAUCACCGUCACCGACAUUUCUAUAACCCAAUUUAAUAUAGAAAAAAAACUUUAUUUAUGGAUGAUAAUCACUUCUCCUUUCUGGCAUUCUGUAUCUGCAUAUUCUUUUAUUUCUCUUUUACCUGAAUUUUGAUGCAUAAUAACCAAAAGUGUCCCACUUUUUCAGCUGUUUAUUUAGCCUCCCACAACGGGCACUACUGGUUAUAUCUUAUUUAUCUAUAUUAGUAUAUGCCCGUUAAAUUUUUUAUUUUUGUUUUUAAAAUUGAAAGAGGGGGGAAGACAGUGAGAGGAAUUAGAAAAACAUUAUGCUUUAAAAACUUUAGUCAAGAAGUUGGGAUUGCAGCAAUCGCAACUCUUGUUUUGCUAAUAAAGCUAUGUUCAAAAGCGCAGAACCCGCACCUUUCUGUUCAACAGCGCAGAAACCGCACUCUUGUUUUGUAGGACCGUGCGUCCGUUUUCUUCUUGAUGCAGUCAGACUACUACGUACCCAGCUCGGCAGCGGUCUGGUCUCAGACAAUGCCUAAAGGAACCAAUAGCUAGCCCUCACACAACUCAAAGGCUUCCGGAGAGAUCCUGUAAGGCAUGGUUCAACUAAUGAUAAGAAGGAAAAAGAUAAGGUGGAGAGAUGAGUGAGAAAGUUGGAAGGGUUCAUGUUGUUGCUCUAGUGGGCGUCAUUCCACAUUAAGUUUUGUAAGCAUGAUUCUAGUAUUAGUAUAUCAGAUAGCAAAGUGGUAUUUACUUUCUUAGAGCGACUAUGUUAUUUAGUUAUUAUAAUAAACUCAAAGAGUUUACAAGAGA